GCCUCCUUAGCUCAGCGGAUUAGAGCGCUUCGCUUCGGACGAAGAGGUCAGGGGUUCAAAUCCUCUAGGGGGCGCCA
RNAcentral lists this transfer RNA (77 nucleotides) under candidate division WWE3 bacterium. RNAcentral's name for it is "tRNA-Arg". It matches the Rfam family "tRNA". From Rfam's summary of the family: Transfer RNA (tRNA) molecules are approximately 80 nucleotides in length. Lineage: Bacteria; candidate division WWE3. The record is from RNAcentral.